UGCCGCGUGUGNGAAGAAGGCCCUCGGGUUGUAAAGCACUUUCAGUGGGGAAGAAAGCCUUGGGGUUAAUACCCUCGAGGAAGGACAUCACCCACAGAAGAAGCACCGGCUAACUCCGUGCCAGCAGCCGCGGUAAUACGGAGGGUGCGAGCGUUAAUCGGAAUUACUGGGCGUAAAGCGCGCGUAGGCGGUCUGAUAAGCCGGUUGUGAAAGCCCCGGGCUCAACCUGGGAACGGCAUCCGGAACUGUCAGGCUAGAGUGCAGGAGAGGAAGGUAGAAUUCCCGGUGUAGCGGUGAAAUGCGUAGAGAUCGGGAGGAAUACCAGUGGCGAAGGCGGCCUUCUGGACUGACACUGACGCUGAGGUGCGAAAGCGUGGGUAGCAAACAGGAUUAGAUACCCUGGUAGUCCACGCCGUAAACGAUGUCGACUAGCCGUUGGGGUCCUUGAGACCUUUGUGGCGCAGUUAACGCGAUAAGUCGACCGCCUGGGGAGUACGGCCGCAAGGUUAAAACUCAAAUGAAUUGACGGGGGCCCGCACAAGCGGUGGAGCAUGUGGUUUAAUUCGAUGCAACGCGAAGAACCUUACCUACCCUUGACAUCGAGAGAACUUGGCAGAGAUGCCUUGGUGCCUUCGGGAACUCUCAGACAGGUGCUGCAUGGCUGUCGUCAGCUCGUGUU
Molecule: ribosomal RNA, 679 nt
Filed under: Halomonas sp. LC6R1
Lineage: Bacteria; Pseudomonadati; Pseudomonadota; Gammaproteobacteria; Oceanospirillales; Halomonadaceae
Description: bacterial SSU rRNA
Rfam family: Bacterial small subunit ribosomal RNA
Source: RNAcentral